GAGAGUAUAGCUCAGUGGUAGAGUGAGUGCUUAGCAUGCACAAGGCAUGGUUCAAUUUCUAGUACCUUCA
RNAcentral lists this transfer RNA (70 nucleotides) under Camelus bactrianus (Bactrian camel). It matches the Rfam family "tRNA". Rfam says of the family: Transfer RNA (tRNA) molecules are approximately 80 nucleotides in length. Their secondary structure includes four short double-helical elements and three loops (D, anti-codon, and T loops). RNAcentral also lists the same sequence under 2 other names. The record is from Rfam by way of RNAcentral. Lineage: Eukaryota; Metazoa; Chordata; Mammalia; Artiodactyla; Camelidae.